Long non-coding RNA from Rattus norvegicus (Norway rat), 14076 nucleotides. RefSeq lists it as uncharacterized. Lineage: Eukaryota; Metazoa; Chordata; Mammalia; Rodentia; Muridae. The record is from RefSeq and is a predicted model, not a curated record.
GAGUGCUUUUGAGGGUGCACUGGGGCCUGAUGUGCUUGCUGUGUGUGGUCUCUGUGUUCAAGUCCUGAACUCAGGAAGGGGUAGACUCUCCCAGAACCUGGUGACAAAGCGCCCUCUUGUGGCCAGAGCGGGAGGCAGCGCAUGGAUGAGGAAAAGAGAAGUAGAUUGUAGAGAGCCAGAACCAGGCCCAGGUGGAUGCUGGGGCUCAGGAAGGAAGGGACAAUGAAGGGAGAGGAGACUAGAUUAGAGAAGGCCAAUGCAUCUAGGGUGCUGAGCUCCACCCUUCCCAAAACUCGAAGUACCCUGUCCAGACAAGGAGCAAGGCAAGUGGGCUGCAUGAAUACAGAAGGAAGCUCAGCCUUUGAGCUGACAUGUGGAACCUGGUUAUGAGCAUGGAUGAAAUGAGGUCAUCUCUCCCUCUCCACCAUACGCCGGAGAGUGCUGUAAAGACAGUCUGUGUGACAGCCCCAUCCUUAUCUGUCGCAGGCCAAGGACAGACUGCACAGUCACCAUCCCCUGCCUCCUGGAGUAGCCCUGUCUGAAGUGUGCAAUGCUUGGGGGCUUGGGACUAGUUAAAGCACAAGAAUAGGGCAGUUGCCACUAAGUCCACUUACUGGGCCAGCCAGGCUGUGUUGGGGCAGGCAGAGCUGUGUUUCCAGUCAUUUCCACAAGGGCUGUUCUGGUUGGGCAUAGGCCAGCAGGUGUUAGUUCUGGUGAGAUGGCCUCCCGUUUUGAGAAGCCCCAAACUCACAAAUCACCGUCAAGCCAAGUGCACCCUGGAAGAUCAUUUGUUCUUACAACAGUGUCCUGGCACGGGAGAUCCCUGAAGGUGUGGUGUGCAGUCAAAGUCACUUACUGCUGACACUUGGCCCCUCUCCUUUCUACUCAGCACAGCCACCACCUUUCUGUUCCUGACCACCGACCACUGCUUUAGCAAUGACAAUCUAGGACCUAAAGGAGAUGGUCACAGAGCAGGUGGAGUGCAUGGUGUGAGCAGCAGGGCAGCCCGGCACUGAUGGCCCUGCUCUAUUUGGGCCUCAGUUUCUGCAUCUGCAGAAGGGAGGUGGCACAAUGAUAUUGAGAGCUCUAUGAUCCCUCGGAGACUCCACUCCAUUCUCCCUUUGUCAGCAGGAUAUAGGGCCAGCCUCCAGUACGAGAGGUCCUAGGGGCCACAGUACAGAGAAAGAGGCAGAUGCAACCAGGCCAGAGGCUAGCCCAGUGUCAGCCUAAUGCGGACACCUUGGGCCUUUUAUUCAGGCUUCUGGCAUUCAGUCGUCCUUCUGUGCUCUUCCGGGUGAGCAACCAGCAGCCUCUGGGGUUCACUCUAGGUAAGGGAGCUCAUCCCACUCAGGGCAGCUGGGUCUAUUUUGAGAUGGCUCUGAUAGACCUUGCUGGAUACAGUUGCCUUGAGAAUUCUGUGAGGGCCCUUCCAGAGCUCCGUGUGAACACAGCAGAGCUUAAGGCUACACACGUUCCUGUUUGCCUUUCAGAAAAGCACAGCCUGGAAACCAGACCCUGCAUGCGCCACCCACAGGCACAAUGAUGAAACUUCCCUGGUGUGUGGGUGAGGCCAAACGACCCACUUCAGGAUCCGCUCUGGGUCAGAGGCCCCAGGUCUUUACAUAAAGCCAGCUCUCUGAUAGCUGGUCCGAGGACCUGAUAUAUAAGGAAGGGACAAAAUGAGGAGAGAAAGAGACCUGAGCCUGUCUGAAUUCAGAGGCCGUCUACUGAGAGCACACAUCGCAGGGGGGUAGAGUUGCCAAACUGGGGGUGCUAUGAUCCCUCUUUGGCAGGAUGCCAAAGUGGCUGCUGGAUCCUGCGAAGGGGAGCUAGAGUGGGUGGACCUCAAGAUCCUACCUGUGUGUAGGCCUCCCCACUGUGGUGUGGGGUCUUCCUCAGAGACUUAGUCAAGAGCAAAGACACAGUUCUGAGUCCAUGGGACAUAUGGGUUUGGACUGGCCAGACAGGCUCCAACUAAGGACACAUUGACUCAACUAAGACAUGUUUUCCUUAAAUAAACCAGAGUAGCCCUACUUCUGGGCUUUCAAACACAAAUGUGCCACUUGAAUGUUUGACCACUACGUUGAAACACAUACUGAAUACAUGCUAGCUGGAUUUUCAUUGCUAGGCAACAUGGGACACCACCAUGCAUCAAGCCCAGCCUUGAAGGGCGCUGAGUCUCACUGCCCAGUGAGGAGCCUCCAGCCAGGAGCACAGCAGAAUCAGGCUUUGCAACUCUGGGGAAAAGGAGAGAUCGAGGACCUUAAGGUCUGCUAUGGCCUGGAUGUAUCCCCUAAAUUCUGGUGUUGGAAACUUAGUUCCUGGUAGCACAGUGUUGGCCUUUAGAGGUAUUUGGUCACAGGAUUAAUACCUGCUGAGGUUUGGUCUAUUGCCAUACAGCCAUGCUAAAUAUUGGCCCCAAGUUCUGCUUGCCCCCAUUGAGGAGGAAAUCCUUGCUUACCGCAAGUGGUGCUGUGUAACCUUACUCCUUAUUUUAAAACUAAUGGUUGAAUAAAGAUUCCUACACCCUAUAGCUGGGCAGAAGAGUGGUAGGCAGGGCCUUGGUUCCUGGGCUUGGGGUCUGAGGCAGAGACCACAAGGAGACAAGAAGAUGCCAUGGGGUAGGUGUGUCACGAGUGCAUGGCUGUGAGGGCCGGCUAACUGGAGUAGGAGUGGCCCAGGCAGAACAUGACAAGUGAUAUCUCGGGGUUAUUGAAAGGGAAGUAGACAAAAUAGCACAGAGGGUUGAUAUCUGCCCAGCACUAGUGCUGUUAGGGCUUAUUAUAAAUGCAAAGGUUUGUGUCUUUUGUUUGAGAACUAUAUGACCAAGGGUGGGGUAGAAACCCCCCAAAUAAUUAUCAUCAUAACAGUUACCUUAUGAAAAAGGCUUGAGGGAAUGGGCUCUCUGUUCUGAUCACACAUUAGGAUUCACUAUCCCUCCUCCUCUGGGAAUGUAGGAAGACACACCCAGCCAUCUUGGAAUCAGACACUGAACAUACUGGCACGGUGAUCUUGGACACCCCAGUCUUCAGAGCUGUGAGAGACUCUAUUUCUUGUCUUCACAAUAAGGUACUGUGUUACAUCAGGGCGAACAAACCAGGAAGGGAUAGGCUGGCCACUUGGAAAGAAUGCUUUUGUAGCUUAUGAGCAGGGCUCCCUCAGGCCAGACAUAACCAAUGGAGCUCUGAGACCCUCCUCUGAGAGGCUGGGGAAGAAAGGAAGCCUGUAGUUCAGGUAUGUUGGGGCUUCAAAGAUAUGUCCAACCUAGGAGAGUCUGCCGAGCCCUCCCUCUCUCAUGCCGAGCUCACAGACUGCCUUAGCUCAGCGUUCCCUCCGCUUUCUACCCAGGAUGGAUCUCAGAGUCAAAGGCAGGCCACUGGUGGGUUCUAGCCCUGUGUAGGACAAUCAUUCAGAUGUGCAUGACCGACAUACCAUCCCUCAAACCCAGAUAACCAUGUUUCACCAAGUCUCUCUAGCAUCGACAAAACAGUGUUGUUUGAAUGGCCUGACCACAACGGGAUCCAUUAAAACAAGCAAGGCAGGGACAGGGGAUGUGGCUUGGUCAGUAGGGUGAUAGCUUAGAAUGCACAGAGCCCUGGGUUCAAUCCCCAGCACAGUGUUAAUCAGGUGUGGUGACACGCUCCUAUAGUCCAAUACGUGGGAGGUAGCGGUGGAAGACUCAGAUAUUCCAGAUCAAUUUUAGCCACAUAGCAAGUCUGAGACAAGCCCAUGCAAAAUACACAUGCAAGCCCAUCUCAAAAUAUAAAUAGGGACUGGGGAGAGGGAAGGGGAGAAACUGUGUAAUUAUGUUUUAAUUAUAAAAAAAUACUAAGCAGUAGAUAUAUACAUGUAAGUAAGCAAGACACUGCUGAUACAUAAGACACCCUCAAUGGGAAAGCAAGCAUCAGGCCAGCCACCACGGGGCAGACCCAGCUUCUCAAUUCCUAGCAACUGUUCACAAACUUCAGACCCAGAGUAUCCCUGACAGCUGUCUGCAUCUCUAGGUUCUGUGCUUCUCACGGGUUGGGGAAGGUGGAACAAAAGAAGGAAAGAAGUCAGACAGGAUGAGGCCAGCUGUAAUGACGCAGAGGUUCUGAGCCCACUGCCCAACAGGACAGAGUCAAUGUGAUUCCCUGGCCACGGCACUGGGAAAGCAGAAGCUUCUGCAUCUUUGGCCUCCUCACAGGUUCAUUUCUGCUUCAAAGUCCAGGCUCUGCACCGAGGGCCACUCUGCCUCACCCAUGUCACACAGUUAAGGACAGUGGUUUCUGCUACAAAGGCCAGCCACACUGGUCCUUGGGGACCAGCUACAGACAAAGCUGUGAAUGUCCACAUACUGUUUAGAAGGAAAAUUCCCUUUGUUUGGACACAGAACAAAACAAGAAGGCAGUUGCCCUGGGAGGGUCCACAGAAGGGCAGGUAUAAAUGAAGCGGCCGAGGGCACUGACCUGAACUUCCCGGUCCGCACCUGCAGAGCUCUCAUUCCGCACUGCUGGGCACCGCCAACGUCACCCACGAUGUCAUCGCCAAUCAUGAUGGCCUGUCAGUAGUGAAAUACGCUCAGACGUUAUGUCAGGGGAGUUUUAUUCCUGGAUUUUCAUCUUUUCUUUUCUUUUUUUUCCCCUUGACAUAAUAAACUGCUUGAUUUGGUGCUUAAAGCCACCAUCAUCAGAAUUAAACAAGGUAAUAUUGUCAUUGUAUUGAUUUAGAGUCAACCCACCUUGAAUAUAUCUCCUGCUGCCUGCGUGCCCCCCACCCCCGACAUCACCAGUAUAUAGUUAUCCAAUGUAAAAUCAAUCAGCAGCCGUCAAAGUGAUUUGGUGGCCUGAGAACACGAGGAGCACCUGGCGCUACAGAGCAGGCUGCAUUUUACCCGACGUUAAAGACUUUAUGACCAGGUGACUGCGCUAUGAAAACUAAUUCAGUGUCUGACUAGUCUUUACAGUCCCCAGGUCAAAAGGUCUGCUUUAAUUGUGUGGAGGGACUUAGAAAAACCAAAAUUUAAAACACACACCGUGUCUACUAGAUAGGGCUUCAGUGGCAGUCAGUGGGGUAGACUCCUCCUCCCAUCUGAAACAACCCUACGCCAGGCAACCUCUCAGAACCAGCAGUUCUCAAGGUACUGGGCAUCAGGCAAAAGGGAUGUCUUUUAAGGCUCAGGGAGCUGUGACUAGCCCAGGCUCCUGCCUUUGGUGUUCUCACAGCCCGUGUGUAGGGAGGAUGUCAUGGACUGAGUUGAGUUCUCUGAAGGAGGCAAAGCUGGGUAAACCCCUGGUGUGAGCACUUAGAUGUGACUGGGGUCCUUACUGGAAGAGAAAAAAAACCCACAGCUGUCUCCACACAAACACAGCAAAGUCCACACGAGGACAGGGCAAUAAGGCAGCCAUCAUGGUUUGGAUAUGGUUUGUGUGCUGCAGGCUUGGUCCCCAGUGUCAUGGUGUCAAUGGAGACACCUAAAAUAGAUGUGACUGGAAAUUGUUACAUUAAGCAAAACAAACCAGACUUAGAAAGGCAAAUAUAGCAUGUUUCCUCUCAUAAGCAGAAUCUGAAGUCGAAAUUAUGUGUGUGAGUGUGUGUGUGUGUGUGUGUGUGUGUGUGUGUGUGUGUGUACACGUGCACUCAUUUAGAUACAUGUGUGAUUAUAGAUCCUGAAACUACAAAGGCAAUCAUGAGAAGAAAGGAUUAGGCCAAGGCGGUGGGCAGUAGAAGCAGCAACGGGAUUCCUAGAAAAGGGAAGCAGAGAGGGACUGCCUGCAAGGACAGGAAACAGUCAGAGGCAAAGGGGCAUAGGGACCAGCCCGCACUUCAAAAUCCUCACCGGAAUUCUCAGAUCUCUCUUCCUGUGUUUUCCAGCUAUGUUACAACUACCAGUGACAAACUGAUUCCCAUCAAUAUCCCCAGAUAUAGUGUCUACCCUUAGAAUAAUACUAUGGGAAGUCAAUACUUUCUGGUCUUCUACUUACAGUAACAAACCAAAGUUUCUUUUAAAAUACAAUUUUUUAAAGAGUCAAUUUAAAGAAAUCCUGAGCAAAAUAAUAGUGCCAGUGGCGAUUCCCAGCUAUGAGGAAAUGGGGAGCCCUUUUCUAGGAGGACAGAGCUGGGGGACACUGCUAAGAGCUUGACUGGAGUUGUUUGUUUGUUCAUUCAUUUACUUGGUUUGUAUCUAUCAUGUGCACUUUCAUAUAGCUGUGUGAAAACCAUCCAGCCAUCUGGGAGGAGCCAGCCGGUGGCAUCUAGUCACUGUAGUGGGACAGCAUGGGGCAUUCCACACACGAACAGGAGACACCAAAGCUUUGGGACUUCCCCACAACUUGCACAGAGUGACCUCAGGUACAGACGGCCAGACAUCUCAUGUUGGACUUGCUUGCCCCCUCUCAAGGAGCUGUCCUAAAACUGUUGGUUCGGCCCUUAAAUACUCAAGGGUUCCAACUCGAGCAUCCACCAUUGUCAAGGGUGCUGGGACCUUUGUAUGGCUGGGCUCCCUACAAAUGGAAUGUAAAUCCCAACUAUAUGUCACGCCUGGCACCUGCCAUGGCUCUGGAACAGGCUGUCUGUAGCUCAGUCAGUAGAGUUCUUGACUGCUAUACACAAGGCUGUGGGUUCGAGCCCCAGCACUGCAUGCCUAAGUGGGAUGAUGUGUGCCUGUAACUCCAGUACUUAGGAGAUAGAGGCAGGGAGACCAUAGAGUUCGAGGUCACCUUUAUUACAUAGUGAGUUCAAGGUCAGCCUGGAUGCAAUGAGAUACUGCCUCAAAACAACUCAUACAUGUGCAUUCACACGCAUACAUAACUGGACAGUGGAAAUUGCCUUCUCGAGACCUUUUGUGCUGGCAUUUGUUGAUGUAGCCCAGAGAGAUGGUAUCUGGAAAGAAAGAAAGAAAGAAAGAAAGAAAGAAAGAAAGAAAGAAAGAAAGAAAGAAAGAAAGAAAGAAAGAAAGAAGGAAGAGAGGAAGGAAGGAAGAAGAGAGGAAGGAAGGAGGGAAGGAAGGAAGGAAGGAGAAACUAAUCCUUCAGAGGAAAUGCUGUCACCCAUGAUAGAGCAUGUGGGGGAUGGAUGCUUGGGACAAUGACCAUGCCAGCAUGGGGAAGAGCAGCAGGAAGGAGAGGUGAGGGUGGCAGGGAGCUGGGACUGGACAUGGGCAGCCAGCAGGAUGUGCAGUGAAGCCUGUCUGGGCCAGCUUGUGGGCUCCGCAUACCAAAACGCUCUGGGGACCCUGGGGAAUUUACAGAUUUACCAUCAGUGAAGGGCAAUAAUCACACCAAGAGGAGCAAUUAUUGCCAAAUCAUUUAGGAUUUAAAAAAUCAUUGGCAAGAAGAUGGAGGUCAAGAGGUGCGCUGUCGGGGGAAAUAAAAAAAAAAAACCCUCUACCUGUCAGGCCUGGCUUUUACUCCUUUCUGACUAUGAUGUGAUAGAAGGGAGACACAUAACAACUGAAUGGGUAGACUCUGAGAGAACCCAGAAAUGCAGAGAGCUGCAGGGGGCUGUCACCAUCCAAGACAGAUUCUGUGCUUUGGAUCUGUACAGCAGACUCUUGGGCUGGGCAGGCAGGUCGAUCGGUAAAGCAUUUGUCUAGAGUGUACGAAGGUCUCCAUUCAAUCCCCCUGUACUACAUAAAACAGGCAAGGUAGUGGGGGCCUAAGAUCCUGGAAUUUAGGAGAUGGAGCAGGGGGACCAGAAGUUCCAAGUCAUCACUGACUUUAUAAUGAGGUAGAAGCUAGUCUGGGCUAAAAAGAGUAGAUCCUCUGACCCGUCACUACCGUCUGCCUAAGGGAGAGUCGCUCCUUCACCAGCUCAGGCGCUCAGAAGAAUGGUGCCAAACUGCACUGGAGGCUUCCAGUGCACUGGGGCUAAGGGUCUCCCAAGAAAACCUGUGUAUUGGGAGCUGUCAGCUCUCCCAGGAGCCUGCAGGGCAAGAAGUAUGUUCCCAUGGCUAGGAAGGGCCUGUGGAGCGGGAGGGUACACAACUCACAAGGGGAGUCCUCCAUAUUGACACCUUCAGCUACCAGGUGCCUCAGAAACCUCGAGCUGACACUUGCUAAGAUGUUUCCACCAUGGCCUAGCACAGUUAUAAGGACUAACAUGACCAAAGUCAAGGAUCACUGAUUUUCUUUUUUUUACAUAUAUGGGUGUUCUGCCUGCAUGAAUGUCUCUGUGUAACUGUGCCUGGUGCUCAGGGAUGCCUGAGGAAGGGGCUGGAUCCUCUAGAACUGGAGUUAUAGCCAGUUGGGAGCCACCACAUGGAUGCUGGGAAUGGAACCUGUGUCCUCUGAAGGAGUAGGCAAUGCUCUUAACCACUGAGCCAUCUAUCCAUUACUGGAUCCCUUUUUAAAGGAAAGAUUGGGUCAGGGAUGUUACUUACUUAGGAAAGUGCUUGGCCAGCAUACAGAAGCUGUGGGUUCAGUUCCCAAUGCUAGGUAAACAAGGCACAGUGACAUACUUUUAAAAUCCCAGAAAAUUGGUAGGUGGAAGCUGGGUGUGACGGCAUACACCUCCAACCCCAGUACUUUUGAGGCAGAGGGAGGUGGAUCUAAAGGCCAGCCUGGUCUACAUGGAGAAUUCCAGGCCAGCCUGGUCUACAUGGAGAAUUCCAGGUCAGCCUGGUCUACAUGGAGAAUUCCAGACCAGCCUGGUCUACAUGGAGAAUUCCAGGCAGCUAGGGCUACAUAGUGAGACUCUGCCAUAGUGAGACUCUGCCUCAACAAACAAACAAAAACACAAAACAAAAACAAAAACAAAAAAAAAACCUGUGUUGGUAAAGAUGUGGAGAGAUGAGCAACCUGACACAACCCUUCCAAACUAGAAUAAAUGUUGUACGCUACAAACUUAUUUAUAGUGUCUGGAAAAUAACAACAAAGAUAUAAAAAUAUGCAACAAAGCUGUAUACCAGGGUUAUAAACAAGAAGAAAUGAGGAUGCAACUCAAUAUCCAGUAACGGGAAUGAUAACACAUAUGCAUGCAUAUAUAUACAGAAAUGUGUACAUAUAAAUAUAACAUGGUGAAAUAUUACACAGUCACAAAAGUUACUUCACAAAACUGCUUAAAUAAGCACUAAGGAAAGUUUUCUCAACAGAUUUUUAGGGAGAAAUCAGGUUUCAAAUAGCAGGUAGAGGUUAUUCAUUGUCUGUGGAAAAAGAUUAGAAAGCUUAAAUUAUGUUAUUCUAAAAUGGUACAAUGAUAGUUUUUUUUCUUGUGACUUCUCUGAAAUUUUUGAUCUCCUUUGGUUAAACAGGAGGCUUGUUUGUUUUUAAUGUGUAUGUGUUCCUGCGUGAGUUUAUGUGCAUUAUGUGCGUGCAGGAGCCAAAGGAGGCCAGAAGAGAGCAUUGGCUUCACUAAAACUGGAGUUACAAGAGGCUGGGAGCCACCAUGUAGGUGCUGGAACCAAACCUGGGUCCUCUGCAAGAGCAGCCAUUUCUCCUUCACUCCCUGAACUUGUGUUCUGAAGAGAAAAUUAACUCUACUAGAAAAAGCUCUAGAGGACAAAAGCCUCCUAAGAGCCAUACAGUAGGAGGUGUUGGAAGCUUGACUGACGCAUGUGGCGUCUCAGCAGGACUUCCAACACUCCCACUUUGUGGUGCUGGGGGCUCCAUGUUGGGCCAAAGCAUUCAUAUCCAGCUGGGCUGGAUCCACUCCUGGCUUUUGCUCUCCUGGAUUUCUAAACACACACACACAUACUCCUGAUCCCAGUCAGAGGAUAGGACACCUCAUCCCUAGAGAAAACAGCUAGGAAUAAGGCUUGGUAACCACAGCAGCAAGGCUUCGAUGGAAAGGCUGCAGGGCAAAAGUUGUGACCCUCAACUGUGGGCACUCCCACCAGAAGCACAGACUGCCCCAACUCUUAUAGCACUGACCUUCAAAACAGGAAUAAAUGGAGGGCACAGGCCUCGUCUUACAGCCAGCCUGCUCUAGACAGCUAUGAGCCUGUCCCUCAAUUGCUUUUUUUAAAAAAUGCUAAUUUAUUUAUUAUUCUAUGGUGGGCAGUGGGCAUGAACAUCAUGUCACUGUGCAUAUGAAGGCCAAAGGGCAACUUGCACGAAUGAGCCAUCUCCUUCCAUCAUGUGGGUUCCAGAGAUCAGACUCAGAUCAUCAGUGCUUUGAGCAAAGGCUUUUAUGACAGAGUCCGUCACCAGCCCUUAAUUAUAUUUCCGUGUGUGUGUGUGUGUGUGUGUGUGUGUGUGUGCACAUGCGUGUGUGCGCAUGCGUGUGUACAGUGUAAUUCUAGGAGUCAGUUCUCCACUUCCUCCUUCAAGAGGGUCGUAGGGAUCAAAGUCAGGCCCCAAUGCUAGCCCAGAACAGUGGCUCUCCCCAGGACAGUGUCUAGAGACUUCACCCCUUAAGAACAGGGGUGGUGCUACCACAGCCAGCAGGUGGUCAGGCAGGCUGUAAUGCCUGCCCUGCGUGCAGAGAGCUUCUAGCACAGCCUUAGGAAUUCCUAGAAGUCAUGGGAAAGGUGUGCUAUUCUUCUCCAGAUUUCUGGACCCUAGGAAAAAACCUGAUUACCUCUAAGGAGGUUGAAUUUCCAAUUAUCUAGGGUCAGCCCAGUUCCCUGCUGUUUCUAGGCUGUUUGGGAAAGAUAUGUUGGGAAUUGGAUUGGGGGCUGCGCCACCGGAGCUCAGGCUCAAAACACCAGGGAAAUGGCAGUAAAGACUUUAUUGAUUAGGGAAGCUCAGAACAGUCAAGGUGUGCCACAACCUGGCACAGGAGCAGCCUGUAGCCCUUCACAAGACAUGUUUAUUAAAAAAACAAAAAAACAAAAACAAAAACCAGUGACAGUAACACAGAGGCAGGCAGUAUUACUCUGCAUGCACAUAGUUAGGAGACACUUGUCCUAAAAUGUGCAUACAUCUCGAUAUUCAAAUAACAUGAACUAGCAUUUCAGCAACGUGGCAGGCUGGAGCCAGGACAGGAUGACAUGGAGGAAAUACACAGGUACUGUGUUUAAAUGCAGACCGCAUUAGCCUGCAAAUGCUAGGCACAGAGCCAGGUAUGCAGCACAGCACACAUGGCGGUACCAGGACAAGUUCCCUCCCUGCAUGCACCCCGUGAGGCCUGGUCAUCAGGCUUGGCUCAAGGGGAUUUUACCCACUAAGCUAUCAAACCCACGUAAGCUCUAGAACACUUUUAUCUCCCAUGGGAAACUAGGUACUCCACAAGAUGACAUUCCCGAUGUGCCCAUGGGUCACCCUCCUCUCCAGGACAUUUCACUGUGCAGAUGGGAUAUGCACUGCUGGCCCAUUCGUGGGGAAUAGGCAAGCCUCUGAGUUCUGCUCAACCUUUUAGGUACUGUGAAUACAGCUGUUUCGAACAUCUCUAAAUGAUUUUAGGAGACUGUUUCUGUGGUGGUGGGAUUCAAAUCUUGGGCUUCAUUCUUGCUGGGCAGGUGCUUAACUACUGAGCUACCCUCUGACCCUACAAGAUGAUGGUGGUGGUGGUGGUGGUGCUGUCCUCUGAAUUCCCAUCCCUGUUAUCUGGGCCUCACCUGGGAGCACCAUCGCUGAGGCAGAUGGAGACCCAUUUAAUACUGAAGACCCACCAGAGGCUCCCUCUCAGCAGUGCUGUUCACUCACAGACCUACCAGCAGAACAUGCAGGUUCCAGCUUCUCCACAUGAAGCUGGCCAUCUUCUGCUACUUCUCUCUUUUAGCAGCCAUAUUGGAGUAUGUUUUUUGUAGUACUAAUGAGCCAGGAAACUGGCCCUUUUUCUAUGUACUCUUUGGUCGUUGCCUGGGGUUGUACAGCUUUGUGGCUGUGCUAAAAUGCCACGUUUUAAAAGAAAUAUUAUAAUGUGAAAGGAUACCAUAGGUCUGAAAUUUAUUUUAAAACAUGGCAGUAAAGCCGGGCCAUGGUGGAACUGCCUUUAGUCCCAGCACUUGGGAAGCAGAGGCUAGCCUGAUCUGUAUAGUGAGUUCCAAGAGAGCCAGGACUACACAGAAAAACCCUAUCUAAACAAACAAACAGACAGACACCUCACAAAGAAACAAGGUAGUAAAAAACUUAGUUCUGGGGCUAGGGAGAUAAGAUGUCUUAUUUGGAAAGGAGCUUGCUGUCCAAGCACGACAAUCUGAGUUCGGAUCCCCAGACCCACGGGAAAGUGGGCACAGCACCACACAUCUGUAAUCCCAGUGUUCCUAUGUUGAGAGGGGAGGUAGAGACAGGAGAAUCCCUGGGAGCUCACUGGUUAGUCAGUCUGGCAGAGCAGCAGCAAAUAAACUCUCAAACGGAUGCAAGGCACGGACUAACAUGCAAGGUUGCCCUCUGUGCUACACAUGCACACAUGCGACACUUAGGUAAGUUGCAGGUACACAUGUGCGUGCAUGUGCAUAUACAUGUACACGCACACAGAAAACAAGAAAGGAAAGAAUUAGUUUUUAAGAGGAAAAAAACGGGCUGGAGAGAUGGCUCAGCGGUUAAGAGCACUGACUGCUCUUCCCGAGGUCCUGAGUUCAAUUCCCAGCAACCACAUGGUGGCUCACAACCAUCUGUAAUGGGAUCCAAUGCCCUCUUCUGGUGUGUCUGAAGACAGCUACAGUGUACUCUUAUAAACAAAAAUAAAUUUUUUUAAAAAAGAGGAAAAAACCAUUUUAAGAGGGAAAUAUCUGUGAUCCAGUUUGGGGUACAUGGUAAGUAACUGUCUCAUUCCUCACAGUGAGAAAGGCCCUGGCCAGCAAGAUGGUUCAAUGGGUAAUGGCACUGGCUGCUGAUCCUGUCAAUCUGAACCCACAUGGUGGAAGGAGAGAAUGAACUCACACAAUCCCAUACCCACAAUAAGUAAAUAAAUAAGUAAACGUCCUUUUAAAAUGUAAAGAAGAAAGGAAAUCCUGCUAUGCCUACCUGGUGGGCUUCCACCCCUAUGGCUUGCAGAGCAGACCUGAAGAACUCAGGGGAGGGUUUCCCCACCACUUCAGCCUCGAUACCACAGGCAUACUGGCAAAGAGAGGGCACAGUAUGAGUUUCAGAUCAGGAACAUGAGAGUAGCCGCACAUGGAAAGACUUCCUCAUGAUGGUCAGAGCCCUUCACAAAGCAGGAUGCCCUGGGCCUCAAACCGUCUCACAGGCAAACAUGUUGCAACUCCCCAACAGGCUGCUGCACAGAAUGCUUAGGACACCUACCUCCAAGGCUGCCCACAGCAAGUGGCAUACCAUACCUAGCAAAGUCACAAGUCUUCCAAAGGACAGGGGACCAAGGCUCUCAUUGCCUGUUCAGCUACAAUCCCAUCUCUUGCCUCUCCCUGCUGCCCUGCUCCCUGCUGAUCACAGCCCUCCUGAGGGUGUCUAGGAUUCAGUCUCCUCACCUGCUUACCCUUCUCACCUGGACACAGGUGGACAGGGGCUGCCACUACUGUGGGGCUGGUACAUGGGAUAGCAGGAGUCUAGGCAGGUGUAGCUAAUUGAUAGGCCACAGUCACAGUGGACUCAAGAGGUCAAGCCACAGAAGGCUUUAUGACCUGGGAAGUCAUCUCAGGAAAGGCCCAGGGAGGACAUAUAGCCUGAGGUGUUACGGGGCUGGGAAGGAAACAGGUGAUCUGUAGACACCAAAGCCGAUAGCCAGAGCCAAGAGCAUGCUGGAAAGAGCACCCAGAGGUUGGCUGGGGGUCAGGGGAUGACACACACAGAAUGACUUCAUGUUGACCAAGGAUGCCUGGACACAAACACCACUCAGCAGAAGACUGGAGACUACUACUGUAAAUAGCUGUUCCCAGGAGCUACGACAGAGGCCCUUGAGAUAGAAGCUCAGUGAACACGGUCUAGGAAUGGAAUCCUGUGAGAGGUCUUCAUGCCUGUGAGAAAACUCCGAGAAAACAAGAGCCUAUGACCUCAGUUUCUUCAAAACAUGGAAUUAUUCUUGCAAAGUGUUUUGUGCUCCUCGCAGGUAUGGGAGUGAGUUUACUUCAGAUGCUCAUCAUUGCUUGCUGCUGUUACUCAACUAAAUGUUUAAAUUAUCCUUUAUAUGCCUCUAUGGAAAAAUGUAUUUUUGUCACAUGCAGCUUGUCCCCAUGGUUGUGUACAUCUUUUGAACUCAUGGAAACGUUGCUCCUGUGAUUUCUCUUAACCCUCAGAGUAUAAAUUGUUGAAUAAUGUU